This 235-nucleotide ribosomal RNA is filed under the name uncultured bacterium. RNAcentral's name for it is "partial 16S ribosomal RNA". It matches the Rfam family "Bacterial small subunit ribosomal RNA", at positions 99 to 334 of the family's 1533-position model. The record is from RNAcentral.
CGGACGGGUGAGUAACGCGUGGGUAACCUACCCUGUACACACGGAUAACAUACCGAAAGGUAUGCUAAUACGGGAUAAUAUAUUUGAGAGGCAUCUCUUGAAUAUCAAAGGUGAGCCAGUACAGGAUGGACCCGCGUCUGAUUAGCUAGUUGGUAAGGUAGCGGCUUACCAAGGCGACGAUCAGUAGCCGACCUGAGAGGGUGAUCGGCCACAUUGGAACUGAGACACGGUCCAA